This 117-nucleotide ribosomal RNA is filed under the name Pteropus alecto (black flying fox). The record is from RNAcentral. Lineage: Eukaryota; Metazoa; Chordata; Mammalia; Chiroptera; Pteropodidae.
GUCUACGGCCACGCCACCCUGAACAGCCCCAUCUCAUCUGAUCUCGGAAGCUAAGCAGGGUCGGCCCAGUUAGUACUUGGACGGGAGACCACCUGGGAAGCCCAGGUGAUGUAUGGG